AUUUAUAAUUUCAAUAUUAUUAUACAUAUAAGGCAUGCUCAUGCAUUCACUUAUAAUUAUAUGUAUAUAGCUAUUAUAGGCAUGCUUUGUGUUGCAUUAUUAUUUGAUGAAAUUGAUGUGGGUGUCGCCUUAAAGUAAUUUAGAGCUGUGUACGUGUGUCGGCAUGCGUGACGUGUAGUACUGGAUAUGGGUAGGACGGACAGAUUGACUUGAGCUAGUCUCACUUGGGGCCCGAUCUUUUUUGUGAUAAGUUGGGGUGAGUACGGAUUUGAGUUGAUCUCAUUGACCCCCGCACUUGGAUUAUUAAGAGAAAGUCCGGAUUGAGUUGAUCUCGCUGGCAGAAGUUAGAAUCAAGAGAACUGUGUAGGGGAUCAACUCCUAUAUAUAUAUUUUAGUGAUGUGACAUACGAGGGUGCGAAUAAUCCAAAUUAUUCUUUGUGUGAAUAUUAUCUGAAUUUGAUUGACUUUGAUGAUGCAUAUUGCAUUUCAUCCUUAAGAAAGCAUUAGCCCUAGAUAAUUAUAAAAAUUGUAUUUAAAAUCAAUAUCUUACUCUAUGAGUCGAACGCUCAAUACUGUUCACCAUAUUUUCCAUGAUACAAAAGGGUUUCAUUUACAGAAUAACCUGCUUACUUUCUCACAGGUUUAUCAACAGUCGUUCCUUGUAUUUCGUUUUCUUAAUUUAAAAUUUUGAACUCUGCAUGUGCUAAAGUUAUUUUUAAUUUGUGAGACUGUAAUGAUCUAUUUUUUUUAGAAACUAGUAACUUAAUUUUUAUAAAUAUAUUGAAUGUAUGAGAUGGAUUGUUUUGAGAAUGAGGGAGCUGAGCUCUCAUUUAAUUAUUUGAUUAAUUGAAAAUUGUGAAGGUGAGCCGAGCUCCCCAAUUUGAUGUAUUCCGUGAUUACAAGUCGGGUGAGCUAAAAACUCUCCAUUGGAUAGUCCAAGUUAUGGCCGAACUUUGUCCAGUUGAUUCCUUAAAAUAAGACUUAUAGUAUGGGUUUUAUGGUUGGGCUAAAACAACUAGACUUACAAUGGGCUUUGGGAGCCUUAUGAUAACCCAAGUCCUAGUGUCAAUCCGACCCAGAAUUAGGGUUAUGACAGUUACAAUUCCUUGUGGAGAACAUACAGUAAGUCCAUAUUGCAAACAACUAAGAAAAUCAAACCAAAAAUCUUUUGCUUUGAGGAAAUAGUGAGAGCUUAUUAAUUUCACAUGUAUCCAGUUUUGUGUCAUUUUCUCUAUCUGUUACUUUGGCUUCCUUGUAUAAAAUGUCAUAUUUUUUCAUUCUUGUGUUAUUCUCUUCUCCUGCAAUAGUUUCGACUUCAGUUUCCAACAUAUUAGUUCCAGUCCAGACUUUUGCAUUCAAUCAAAUCCAAAAGAAAAGUGGGAAACCUUGACUAAAGUUGCAUAGCAAA
This 1408-nucleotide unclassified non-coding RNA is filed under the name Hevea brasiliensis (rubber tree). The record is from RNAcentral. Lineage: Eukaryota; Viridiplantae; Streptophyta; Magnoliopsida; Malpighiales; Euphorbiaceae.